GACGAACUUUGGCGGCGUGCUUAACACAUGCAAGUCGAACGGAAAGGCCCUGCUUUUGUGGGGUGCUCGAGUGGCGAACGGGUGAGUAACACGUGAGUAACCUGCCCUUGACUUUGGGAUAACUUCAGGAAACUGGGGCUAAUACCGGAUAGGAGCUCCUGCUGCAUGGUGGGGGUUGGAAAGUUUCGGCGGUUGGGGAUGGACUCGCGGCUUAUCAGCUUGUUGGUGGGGUAGUGGCUUACCAAGGCUUUGACGGGUAGCCGGCCUGAGAGGGUGACCGGCCACAUUGGGACUGAGAUACGGCCCAGACUCCUACGGGAGGCAGCAGUGGGGAAUAUUGCACAAUGGGCGGAAGCCUGAUGCAGCAACGCCGCGUGCGGGAUGACGGCCUUCGGGUUGUAAACCGCUUUCGCCUGUGACGAAGCGUGAGUGACGGUAAUGGGUAAAGAAGCACCGGCUAACUACGUGCCAGCAGCCGCGGUGAUACGUAGGGUGCGAGCGUUGUCCGGAUUUAUUGGGCGUAAAGGGCUCGUAGGUGGUUGAUCGCGUCGGAAGUGUAAUCUUGGGGCUUAACCCUGAGCGUGCUUUCGAUACGGGUUGACUUGAGGAAGGUAGGGGAGAAUGGAAUUUCCUGGUGGAGCGGUGGAAUGCGCAGAUAUCAGGAGGAACACCAGUGGCGAAGGCGGUUCUCUGGGCCUUUCCUGACGCUGAGGAGCGAAAGCGUGGGGAGCGAACAGGCUUAGAUACCCUGGUAGUCCACGCUGUAAACGGUGGGUACUAGGUGUGGGGUCCAUUCCACGGGUUCCGUGCCGUAGCUAACGCUUUAAGUACCCCGCCUGGGGAGUACGGCCGCAAGGCUAAAACUCAAAGGAAUUGACGGGGCCCCGCACAAGCGGCGGAGCAUGCGGAUUAAUUCGAUGCAACGCGUAGAACCUUACCUGGGUUUGACAUGGAUCGGGAGUGCUCAGAGAUGGGUGUGCCUCUUUUGGGGUCGGUUCACAGGUGGUGCAUGCCUGUCGUCAGCUCGUGUCGUGAGAUGUUGGGUUAAGUCCCGCAACGAGCGCAACCCUUGUUCACUGUUGCCAGCACGUUAUGGUGGGGACUCAGUGGAGACCGCCGGGGUCAACUCGGAGGAAGGUGGGGAUGACGUCAAGUCAUCAUGCCCCUUAUGUCCAGGGCUUCACGCAUGCUACAAUGGCUGGUACAGAGAGUGGCGAGCCUGUGAGGGUGAGCGAAUCUCGGAAAGCCGGUCUCAGUUCGGAUUGGGGUCUGCAACUCGACCUCAUGAAGUCGGAGUCGCUAGUAAUCGCAGAUCAGCAACGCUGCGGUGAAUACGUUCCCGGGGCU
This 1347-nucleotide ribosomal RNA is filed under the name uncultured bacterium. RNAcentral's name for it is "partial 16S ribosomal RNA". It matches the Rfam family "Bacterial small subunit ribosomal RNA", at positions 28 to 1381 of the family's 1533-position model. The record is from RNAcentral.